UCGUCUGAUCGCCGCCGCCUGAAACCUUACCGCCUUCGCCUGACCCCGGAACACCGACGCCAACGCCGGAGCUCCCUGAAUAAUCGACGAGGAGGGGACCUUAAACGCACAUAAUCGUGCCCUAAUCGCCUGUUUUGAGAGAAAUCCCGACCCUCGGAGCUCAGGAAGGACGAUAAUCAAGGCUAGAGAAAAAGCCUAGUCAAUCACGAAUAGAGGUACCGACCGGGACGACGGAUGCGAGUAGUGGCAAGGAUUUCGUGUUAUUAGGGUUCACCUAGUUUAAGCUUAAUUUGUACUAAGUUCAAGUAAGAAUUUUCUACUAAGUUAUGUAAGCCACUUUUGAAUAUUAAUAUAGAACA
Spinacia oleracea (spinach) is the source of this 359-nucleotide long non-coding RNA. RefSeq lists it as uncharacterized. Lineage: Eukaryota; Viridiplantae; Streptophyta; Magnoliopsida; Caryophyllales; Amaranthaceae. The record is from RefSeq and is a predicted model, not a curated record. The transcript has 3 exons.